Molecule: long non-coding RNA, 2333 nt
Organism: Acipenser ruthenus (sterlet)
Lineage: Eukaryota; Metazoa; Chordata; Actinopteri; Acipenseriformes; Acipenseridae
Exons: 2
Source: RefSeq, a predicted model, not a curated record
AUAACCAUGUUCUAUACUUUUGAGGCAUAAGCAAUUCGGAAAUAACACUUACUACCCAGGAACCAAAAAAAAAAAAAAAAUUGUUACACGGUGUUAUUAUUAUUAUUAUUUGUUUAUUUAGUAGAUGCCUUUAUCCAAGGCGACUUACAGCGACUAGGGUGUGUGAACUAUGCAUCAACUGCAGAGUCACUUACAAUUACAUCCCACCCGAAAGACGGAGCACAAGGAGGUUAAGUGACUUGCUCAGGGUCAAACAAUGAGUCAGUGGCUCAGGUGGGAUUUGAACUGGGGACCUCCUGGUUACAAGCCCUUUUCUUUAAUCACUGGACCACACAGCCUCCCAUAAUAAUAAUGGCCAGCUGGUUUGGGUUUUCCCCAGACUUAUUUAUUCAUUUUAUUGUCAUUGUUUGUUAGCCUACUAUUAGUAGUUUAACUACUACUGCAGGCACCAACGUUAACAGCUUAAACUUAAACUUUACUGUAAAAAAAGAGGCACUAUAGUUUGAAAUGCCGGUACAGUGGGUGGAGUAAUAUGCAUUUUCAGUGAGAGUUGACCCUGCCUUCAGAGGACGGAGAUGAGGCAAAGAGAGGCUGCUGUGGAUGUAAAGGGAGUUUCUUUGGAAGACUGCUCUUGGGCACCAUCUAGCUCUGGCACUGAUCAAGACAUACCAGUCCAAAAUGGCGGAGAUAGAAGACAUAUUUGAGGGAGUUGAAGAAGCCAUUGAUGGAGCUGACGAUGACAUUGAAGACCUAUCAGAAGAAGCACAAGAGGAAAUAAAAGCAGAAGUAGCUGAAGCACGAGCAGAAGUUGCAGAGCUUUCCAAAGUUAGCGAGACCUUAAAAACCUUGCUUCAAUACGUCACAACAAGUAUACCAAAAAUAGUAGGAUUUGUUGUGAAAAAUUUAGCUAUCGGUGCUAUCUUGUGGGGUGUAAAUGUUGUUCUUAACAAAUUGCUUCCCGAUAAACAACAAUCCAAGGAUGUACAGAGAAAGCGUGCUGUGAUUAAGGCAUUAACCGCAAUCAUUAAAAAUGAAACAGGCCUCAGUGAAAAGCUCCUAAAGUGGAUGACAGACCACAAAGAUGAUAUGAUUCAACUGGAAGGAUUUGAAGUACCAAUGGAAUCAAUUAUUCAGAAAUACAUUGGACCAGUAUCUGAUGUACGUAAUGUUUUGCUACUUUUUAUUUAUGUUCUAUUAACAAUAUAUACAGCAGUUAUCGUCAAAAGUUUACAUACAUACAAUGGAAAUGAAUAAUUUCUAGGAGUUUCUCUAAAACCCCAAAAUUGAGUUCCUGCCAGCAGAGAGAGAAUUGAGGCAUCCACUUCAUUUAUUAUUAAAUGUAGUAGUAACCUAGUAUCAGUUGUAAGAAUUCCGUUUGUGUAAUAUUUAAUACCAAUUCAGAUUUUAGAACAUACAGCAGCAACAGGGUAACACUGUAUUUUAAGCAGUUAUUAGGGAGUUAUUAACAAUGUUUUUCAGGAACCAAUCCUAUCUAAUACUAUAGCUUUUCUCUUAUUAGCAACCUCUGGAUAAUGGCAACUUUUUGAUGGCUACCAAGUGAUUGUUAAUAAGCAGCAUUUACCAUGUGUAUAUACUUUCGUGGCCUGCCUACUACAUCAUUAGAAACUGAAAGGUAGGGUAUUAAAUACCUCUUCUGUGCUGAUUUGAUGUUUGAUAUUUCACAAUUUGAUGUUUUAGCCGUUGAGCAAGCCUUCAAAGUUGCAAACUCACUCACGAAAAAGAUUGACGGGAAAACCCAGAUCAACAUCCCAACAGCAGAAGACAUCCAGCAGUUCCUUGCAGCUGCCGAUGCAUUUCUCCAAGCCUUCAGUAAUUUGAUUCAGUUUGUCUCCACACAUGUUCAACAGAUUAAAGAGCUUAAAACCUUUCCAUUGACACAGGCAGACAUUGACUCUCUUAAAACUCAGCUGGAUGAUGCUAAGGCCUUACCUUUGUGGUAAACAAAAAAUAUGUCUUGACUUUUGAUAAUGUAUAGGAUCAAAAGAGACAGGCACACACUGCUCCAAAAGCUUGCAUUUUUCUCAUAUUCACGAUUAAAACAGCUAAUAAUAAACUCUGGAAAGUUAAAAUAUUCAAAACGCAGUUUUUGUUUUCUGGUAUAACUGUUUAUUAACAUAGACGUGAAUGAUUAAAACACAAUUGUUAAUAGAAAUACAAUGCUUGAGCUUCAACUAAACACGACAAGAUUAAAAAAGCAAUAUAAUUGUGUGUAUUUUUCAUUUUACCAUUUUUAUUCUUCACAAGUAUAAAUGUUGUUGUGAUAUAUGUGACUCAUAUUAUUAAGUGGCUUCUCAUUAAAAAAAGAACAAACA